Molecule: long non-coding RNA, 732 nt
Organism: Homo sapiens (human)
Lineage: Eukaryota; Metazoa; Chordata; Mammalia; Primates; Hominidae
Product: long independently transcribed non-coding RNA 1456
Exons: 5
Source: RefSeq, marked validated
CCGAGCCAGGUGUGGGAUAUAAUCUCGUGGUGCGCCAUUUUUCAAGCCCGUCAGAAAAGCGCAGUAUUCGGGUGGGAGUGACCCGAUUUUCCAGGAGUCCUAACCUAAAAUAAAAUAGAACAUACUGUGCUUAAAGCAAGGGGGGAAUCAUGUAACAAUAAAACCAGUGAAGAAAAUUCUAAUGCUCAGGUAAGGCCUCAGAAAAAGUGGAAAACAGCUGGUCCUCAGGAUCCUCCAGCCUUUGCCAAGGAAAAGUGGUUUUAAUCACUGAAGAAUGAGGCUUCAACAUAUGGAAAGACUGUAAGUGUCUUGACACUGAAAUUUUCUCUUGUAGGUGUUCCUGGACAGCAAGUGAGUGACUUGCUCACAGGCGGUAAUUCAGGGACCCAGGUUUCUUCUACCUGGUAGCUCUACUGUCCUUCAGAACCUCAGAGCCCUGUGCAUUCAGCCAGCAGGAGAAAGACCACUACUAAGGUCAUUCACUUUGGGAGAAGCCAGUCUUCAUGCCAUGAGGACGUUCAGGCAGCCCUGUGGAGAGAACCACAUGGAAAGGAUCUGAGGUCUCUCACCAGCACCAAUUUGCCAGCUAUGGGAAUGGGCCACCUUGGAAGGAGACUGUCCAGCCCAAGUGAAGGCUGCAGAUAACUGCAGCUUUGGCCAACAUUUGGCUAUAUUGCUUUGGGAAAUCUCAAGCCAGAACCAUCUGGCCAAGCUGCUCUUAAAUUCCUGAUC